UGGCUCUGGAGAACGUUCCUCAAGGGGACUGCCGAAGGUGCAACGCGCGCAAAGGGGUUUGCGUGCCAAUCUCUCAGGCAAAAGGACAGAGAUG
This 94-nucleotide non-coding RNA is filed under the name Agathobaculum butyriciproducens. RNAcentral describes it as "Glycine riboswitch". It matches the Rfam family "Glycine riboswitch aptamer", at positions 9 to 86 of the family's 94-position model. Rfam says of the family: This family represents the bacterial glycine riboswitch. Glycine riboswitches usually consist of two metabolite-binding aptamers domains with similar structures in tandem. Lineage: Bacteria; Bacillati; Bacillota; Clostridia; Eubacteriales; Butyricicoccaceae. The record is from RNAcentral.